AUAAAAUUUUGUAAAAAAAAAAAAAAUAAAAAAAAAAAAAAAAUAAAUCUGUUCUUAUCAGUUUAAUAUCUGAUACGUCCUCUACCUGAGGACCAUAUAUUAAAUGGAUUUUUAGGCCUGGGAGUCGGAAGAGGGGCUUGCUCCGUCCACGCCACGCAUCGACCAGGUAUUGCAUUGCCUCCUGGCACGGUGCACCCUCA
Small nuclear RNA from Trichomycterus rosablanca, 200 nucleotides. RefSeq annotates it as U2 spliceosomal RNA. The record is from RefSeq and is a predicted model, not a curated record. The transcript has a single exon. NCBI's taxonomy places the organism in Eukaryota, Metazoa, Chordata, Actinopteri, Siluriformes, Trichomycteridae.